UUUGUUUCCAGCUAUGAAAAUGGAAUAAUUAGGAAAUGCUGUAAAAAUUAUUACUUAAUAAACAAUAGUUGUCAAGUGUGCCCUUCCGGAUGCUCUGAGUGUAAUUGUUUUCAAGCUUGUGAGGGAUUGAUGCAACGAUCUGGAUGUGAUGCUGCCUGUUCUUGUCCAGCCUGUAAACAAACGUUCGACUGUAAGCAAAAUACAGGUUCCAACACGAACACAUUCAUUCAUUUCAACACCUCUCAGAUGUUAACAACGAAAUUGGAAGGAAUCAUUCAAACCACAAAACCAUCAAAAAAUACCAUAUCACAUUCCAAUUACAGUUAUGCUAUAAUUAUCGUCGGAACUCUCCUAACUGUUGUAUUUUUAAUAAUACUAGUCAGGGAAGUGCGGAAAUUUCG
Molecule: long non-coding RNA, 401 nt
Organism: Saccostrea cuccullata (small rock oyster)
Lineage: Eukaryota; Metazoa; Mollusca; Bivalvia; Ostreida; Ostreidae
Exons: 3
Source: RefSeq, a predicted model, not a curated record